GGAAGAAAAUUAGGGUUAUACGUCUCCCACCAAGCACCACGGCACCCUAUCCCGGAAGCAAUUCUGGGCGUUGUAAUUAUCCGGUUUUUGCGACGCUAUACGCAGAUAUUGCCCGGGGCUAGACCACAAACCGUACUAUUAAAGGAUUCUUACCUACGAACUUCUGGGGGGUGGAACGCUUGCGUUUGGUGAGGCUGUUGGCCAGCCGAUCAAUGAAGGUUGGCCGCUCAGAGGAUGAGUGCAACAUGGAGUCUGGCACCAUCUCCAGAUCGCAUCCCUUUGUGAAGAGGGGGUAGAUGCUGGAAUCAUCCUGGUCCUGCACUCCCUCUGACCCAGCCCUCAACUCCCCCACAGGCCUGCCUACAGCCCUACCUGCUUGGCCAGCGAGAGCCUGGGCUUCAGUGCUGAGACUCUGUAGGUAGUUGUGGCACCGCUCUUUGUGCUCCUCCAGGGUACUCUGCUGUUUGUAGCUCCGGCCACAGUAGUUACACUUGUAGGGCUUCCCCACUGUGGGAGAGGAAACUAUGGAGGAGACAGGAGACGGAUGGCAUGAGUUACUUCUCCCUGUACCCUGGCUCUACAAAACCAUCCAGGAGCAAAGGCUCAUGGGCUUGAGGAGGAAGGGAUGUCACUCAGAGUUUCAGUAUCCUUGUCAGCAAAACAAGGAUAAUGCCAUCUACCUUAGAGUCGUUAUGAGGAUCACAUGAAAAGACAAGCAAAAUGCUUUGUGGAUUAUAAAGCCUGAAUCAACGAUGACCUUUCUCCCUGUUUCUCUACUCACCUCCAAGGUAACUGACCCGAGUGUGUCCGGAGGUGGCCAGUGAGAGCAUCGCGCCGGCGGCAGGCGUAGUUACAGAAGGGACAUUUGAAAGGCUUCUCCCCAGAGUGAAGUUUGAUGUGGCGCAGCAGGUUCCCCUUCUGGGUGAAGGAGGCGCCACACUGGUUGCAGUGGAAGGGCCUUUCACCUGCAAGAGAAAGAACAGAUCUCUGAGGACUGCAUAUGAGAAAACUGAGGCACAAAAGAGACUGUGUUACUUGUCCAAGGUGACAUAGUGGUGGAACCCGGAUGGAACAUAAACAGUAAGCACUCAUGUCCUUAGCCACCCUCUACACAGCCAGUUGAGAGUCAUUGUUUCAGCAGAGGAGAGUUGGGCCCAUUAGAUCUUCUCUUCUGAAAUCAGUAAAAAUUUGACUACUCUAGAAAGCCUCCAAUCGGAUAUGAUUCCAAAUACCUAAA
Prionailurus viverrinus (fishing cat) is the source of this 1237-nucleotide long non-coding RNA. RefSeq lists it as uncharacterized. The transcript is spliced from 6 exons. The record is from RefSeq and is a predicted model, not a curated record. Lineage: Eukaryota; Metazoa; Chordata; Mammalia; Carnivora; Felidae.